AACAAACGCUGGCGGCGUGCAUAACACAUGCAAGUCUAACGGGAAAGUUGGCUUCGGCUGGCGAGUACCGUGGCGAACGGGUGAGUAACACGUGGGUAAUCAAACCUCGAGUUUGGGAUAACCUUGCGAAAGCGGGGCUAAUACCGAAUAAGACCACGCCUUGUUAGCAAGGUGGGGUAAAAGGUGGCCUCUUCCUGAAAGCUAUCACUUGAGGAUGAGCCCGCGGCCUAUUAGCUAGUUGGUGGGGUAAUGGCCCACCAAGGCGACGAUGGGUAGCCGGCCUGAGAGGGUGUACGGCCACACUGGCACUGAGAUACGGGCCAGACUCCUACGGGUGGCUG
This 341-nucleotide ribosomal RNA is filed under the name uncultured Pseudomonadota bacterium. RNAcentral describes it as "bacterial SSU rRNA". It matches the Rfam family "Bacterial small subunit ribosomal RNA", at positions 29 to 351 of the family's 1533-position model. Lineage: Bacteria; Pseudomonadati; Pseudomonadota. The record is from RNAcentral.